CCUGGUAGUAAUAGCGCGGUGGUCCCACCUGAUACCAUACCGAACUCAGAAGUGAAAUACCGUAGCGCCGAUGGUAGUGUGGGGUUUCCCCAUGUGAGAGUAGGAAAUUGCCAGGC
This 116-nucleotide ribosomal RNA is filed under the name Candidatus Palibaumannia cicadellinicola. Lineage: Bacteria; Pseudomonadati; Pseudomonadota; Gammaproteobacteria. The record is from RNAcentral.